UCCGGUUGAUCCUGCCGGAGGCCACUGCUAUGGGGGUCCGACUAAGCCAUGCGAGUCAUGGGGCGCCUUGCGCGCACCGGCGGACGGCUCAGUAACACGUCGGUAACCUACCCUCGGGAGGGGGAUAACCCCGGGAAACUGGGGCUAAUCCCCCGUAGGCCUGAGGUACUGGAAGGUCCUCAGGCCGAAAGGGUCUUUGACCGCCCGAGGAUGGGCCGGCGGCCGAUUAGGUAGUUGGUGGGGUAACGGCCCACCAAGCCGAAGAUCGGUACGGGCCAUGAGAGUGGGAGCCCGGAGAUGGACACUGAGACACGGGUCCAGGCCCUACGGGGCGCAGCAGGCGCGAAACCUCCGCAAUGCUCGAAAGAGCGACGGGGGGACCCCCAGUGCCGUGGCAUCGCCACGGCUUUUCCGGAGUGUAAAGAGCUCCGGGAAUAAGGGCUGGGCAAGGCCGGUGGCAGCCGCCGCGGUAAUACCGGCGGCCCGAGUGGUGGCCACUAUUAUUGGGCCUAAAGCGUCCGUAGCCGGGCCUGUAAGUCCCUGGCGAAAUCCCACGGCUCAACCGUGGGGCUUGCUGGGGAUACUGCAGGCCUUGGGACCGGGAGAGGCCGGGGGUACUCCUGGGGUAGGGGUG
RNAcentral lists this ribosomal RNA (634 nucleotides) under uncultured archaeon. Its description in RNAcentral is "bacterial SSU rRNA". It matches the Rfam family "Archaeal small subunit ribosomal RNA", at positions 1 to 634 of the family's 1478-position model. The record is from RNAcentral.